This 164-nucleotide small nucleolar RNA is filed under the name Meriones unguiculatus (Mongolian gerbil). Its description in RNAcentral is "Small nucleolar RNA SNORD97 (ENSMUGG00000011043.1)". It matches the Rfam family "Small nucleolar RNA SNORD97". Lineage: Eukaryota; Metazoa; Chordata; Mammalia; Rodentia; Muridae. The record is from RNAcentral.
UUGCCCGAUGAUUAUAAAAAGACGCGAAAGAGGACUUGGAAGCUGGACUUCUUUUUCUCUUUUCUACUCUUUAACUUCUCUUUUCUCUACCUUUUUAUCUGUUUCUUUUUCUCUCUUUGGAUGUCCAGUGUCCUAUGAGCGAAGAUUAUGAGAUAUGAGGGCAA